CGGGUGAGUAACGCGUGGAUAACCUGCCUCAUACAGGGGGAUAACAGUUAGAAAUGACUGCUAAUACCGCAUAAGCGCACAGGACCGCAUGGUCUGGUGUGAAAAACUCCGGUGGUAUGGGAUGGAUCCGCGUCUGAUUAGCUGGUUGGUGAGGUAACGGCCCACCAAGGCGACGAUCAGUAGCCGACCUGAGAGGGUGGCCGGCCACAUUGGGACUGAGACACGGCCCAAACUCCUACGGGAGGCAGCAG
This 251-nucleotide ribosomal RNA is filed under the name uncultured bacterium. RNAcentral's name for it is "partial 16S ribosomal RNA". It matches the Rfam family "Bacterial small subunit ribosomal RNA", at positions 103 to 354 of the family's 1533-position model. The record is from RNAcentral.